CCUACGGGGGGCAGCAGUGGGGGAUAUUGCACAAUGGGGGGAACCCUGAUGCAGCGACGCCGCGUGGGUGAAGGAGCGUUUCGGCGCGUAAAGCCCUAUCGGCAGGGAAGAAGAUGACGGUACCUGGCCAAGAAGCCCCGGCUAACUACGUGCCAGCAGCCGCGGUAAUACGUAGGGGGCAAGCGUUAUCCGGAUUUACUGGGGGUAAAGGGGGCGCAGACGGCAAUGCAAGCCAGGAGUGAAAGCCCGGGGCCCAACCCCGGGACUGCUCUUGGAACUGCAUGGCUGGAGUACAGGAGGGGCAGGCGGAAUGCCUAGUGUAGCGGUGAAAUGCGUAGAUAUUAGGAGGAACACCGGUGGCGAAGGCGGCCUGCUGGACUGUGACUGACGUUGAGGCCCGAAGGCGUGGGGAGCAAACAGGAUUAGAUACCCUAGUAGUC
Molecule: ribosomal RNA, 440 nt
Filed under: uncultured bacterium
Lineage: Bacteria
Description: partial 16S ribosomal RNA
Rfam family: Bacterial small subunit ribosomal RNA
Source: RNAcentral